RNAcentral lists this ribosomal RNA (161 nucleotides) under Oedera calycina. RNAcentral's name for it is "Relhania calycina 5.8S ribosomal RNA". It matches the Rfam family "5.8S ribosomal RNA". From Rfam's summary of the family: 5.8S ribosomal RNA (5.8S rRNA) is a component of the large subunit of the eukaryotic ribosome. The record is from RNAcentral. Lineage: Eukaryota; Viridiplantae; Streptophyta; Magnoliopsida; Asterales; Asteraceae.
ACGACUCUCGGCAACGGAUAUCUCGGCUCACGCAUCGAUGAAGAACGUARCAAAAUGCGAUACUUGGUGUGAAUUGCAGAAUCCCGUGAACCAUCGAGUUUUUGAACGCAAGUUGCGCCCGAAGCCAUCUGGUUGAGGGCACGUCUGCAUGGGCGUCACGC